RNAcentral lists this ribosomal RNA (253 nucleotides) under uncultured bacterium. RNAcentral describes it as "partial 16S ribosomal RNA". It matches the Rfam family "Bacterial small subunit ribosomal RNA", at positions 524 to 776 of the family's 1533-position model. The record is from RNAcentral.
UACAGAGGUGGCAAGCGUUGUUCGGAAUUACUGGGCGUAAAGGGCGCGUAGGCGGUCAGGUCAGUCCCGUGUGAAAUCCCUCGGCUCAACUGAGGAACUGCACGGGAAACUGCCUGGCUUGAGUUCGGGAGAGGGAAGCGGAAUUCCGGGUGUAGCGGUGAAAUGCGUAGAUAUCAGGAGGAACACCAAUUGCGAAGGCAGCUCGCUGGGACGUUACUGACGCUGAGACGCGAAAGCGUGGGGAGCAAACAGG